AUUGGGCGUAAAGAGUUCGUAGGUGGUUUGUUAAGUUUGGUGUUAAAUGCAGGGGCUCAACUUCUGUUCGGCAUCGGAUACUGGCAGACUAGAAUGCGGUAGAGGUAAAGGGAAUUCCUGGUGUAGCGGUGAAAUGCGUAGAUAUCAGGAGGAACAUCGGUGGCGUAAGCGCUUUACUGGGCCGUAAUUGACACUGAGGAACGAAAGCCAGGGUAGCAAAUGGGAUUAGAUACCCCAGUAGUCCUGGCCGUAAACGAUGGAUACUAGGUGUUGCGGGUAUCGACCCCUGCAGUGCCGUAGCCAACGCGUUAAGUAUCCCGCCUGGGGAGUACGCACGCAAGUGUGAAACUCAAAGGAAUUGACGGGGACCCGCACAAGCGGUGGAACAUGUGGUUUAAUUCGAAGCAACGCGAAGAACCUUACCAGGGCUUGACAUCUAACAAACACUUGUGAAAGCGAGUGGUGCUCUUCGGAGAAUGUUAAGACAGGUGGUGCACGGUUGUCGUCAGCUCGUGUCGUGAGAUGUUGGGUUAAGUCCCGCAACGAGCGCAACCCUCGUCGUUAGCUGGUAUUAAUGGUACACUGUUAAUAACCUCUCUAGCGAGACUGCCGGUGAUAAACCGGAGGAAGGUGAGGACGACGUCAAAUCAUCAUGCCCCUUAUGCUCUGGGCUACACACGUGUUACAAUGGCUGGUACAAUGAGUCGCCAACUUGCGAGAGUGAGCAAAUCUCUAAAAGCCAGUCUCAGUUCGGAUUGCGGUCUGCAACUCGACUGCAUGAAGUCGGAAUCGCUAGUAAACG
Molecule: ribosomal RNA, 802 nt
Filed under: uncultured Pseudomonadota bacterium
Lineage: Bacteria; Pseudomonadati; Pseudomonadota
Description: bacterial SSU rRNA
Rfam family: Bacterial small subunit ribosomal RNA
Source: RNAcentral